Molecule: ribosomal RNA, 494 nt
Filed under: uncultured bacterium
Lineage: Bacteria
Description: bacterial SSU rRNA
Rfam family: Bacterial small subunit ribosomal RNA
Source: RNAcentral
ACUCAAAGGAAUAGACGGGGGCCCGCACAAGCAGUGGAUUAUGUGGUUUAAUUCGAAGCUACGCGAAAAACCUUACCAGGGCUUGACAUGGAGAUGACUAUCAUAGAGAUAUGGUUUCCCCUUCGGGGGCAUCUCACACAGGUGGUGCAUGGUUGUCGUCAGCUCGUGUCGUGAGAUGUUGGGUUAAGUCCCGCAACGAGCGCAACCCCUAUUGUUAGUUGCUACGCAAGAGCACUCUAGCGAGACUGCCGUUGACAAAACGGAGGAAGGCGGGGACGACGUCAAAUCAUCAUGCCCCUUAUGUCCUGGGCUACACACGUAAUACAAUGGCGUUUAACAGAGGGAAGCGAUACCGCGAGGUGGAGCAAAUCCCUAAAAGGCGUCUCAGUUCGGAUCGCAGGCUGCAACUCGCCUGCGUGAAGUCGGAAUUGCUAGUAAUCGCGGAUCAGCAAGCCGCGGUGAAUACGUUCCCGGGCCUUGCACACACCGCCCGU